RNAcentral lists this long non-coding RNA (390 nucleotides) under Phoenix dactylifera (date palm). RNAcentral's name for it is "long non-coding RNA (PDAC_LNC015139)". Lineage: Eukaryota; Viridiplantae; Streptophyta; Magnoliopsida; Arecales; Arecaceae. The record is from RNAcentral.
GUUGACAAGCAAUUUUGAUGCUAGAGGAUAUGUAGCCCUUAUGGUGGAUCGUGAAUCAACUAUGUGCUAGGUUGAGGAAUUGAGGUGGCAAAGGUGCAGUGUUGAUAAGGUGGUACAUGCAUGGGUAAGUUUAGAUUCAGAUUCUUUAUGGGCUUGGUUCUGACCUAAUCUUAUUGAGUAGGGCCUUAUUUAAGUCAAGUUAUGACCCGGUUCAUGCCCACAUAUACACUUGUAUUCAAACAUAUAUGCAUCUAUAGGGGUGUGUGUGUGUGUGUCUAUAUAUAUAUAUGUGCAUACAUGUUGGUGCUGGGGGCCAAAUGGUUUUAAUGUUCCUAGGGCAUAACUCAAUUGUGCCCAAGGUUUUCUAUUUGGGUGCCCGUCCUUAUACUG